RNAcentral lists this non-coding RNA (97 nucleotides) under Sunxiuqinia dokdonensis. RNAcentral's name for it is "TPP sequence". It matches the Rfam family "TPP riboswitch aptamer (THI element)". From Rfam's summary of the family: Vitamin B(1) in its active form thiamin pyrophosphate (TPP) is an essential coenzyme that is synthesised by coupling of pyrimidine and thiazole moieties in bacteria. The previously detected thiamin-regulatory element, thi box was extended, resulting in a new, highly conserved RNA secondary structure, the THI element, which is widely distributed in eubacteria and also occurs in some archaea. Lineage: Bacteria; Pseudomonadati; Bacteroidota; Bacteroidia; Marinilabiliales; Prolixibacteraceae. The record is from Rfam by way of RNAcentral.
UAAAAUGCAUCGGGGUGCUUCUUUCUGAAGAGGCUGAGACUUUACCCGUGUACCUGAACUGGAUAAUACCAGCGGAGGAAAUGCAGGCGGUUUUGAU